GAUUAACGCUAGCGGCAGGCCUAAUACAUGCAAGUCGCACGAGAUUAAGUAGCAAUACUUAUGAAAGUGGCGCACGGGUGCGUAACACGUAUGCAAUCUACCUUUGACUGGGGAAUAGCUCCGAGAAAUCGGAAUUAAUACCGCAUAAUGUUGCUGAGAGGCAUCUCUCGGCAACCAAAACUCCGGUGGUCAAAGAUGAGCAUGCGCCCGAUAGCUAGUUGGUGAGGUAAUGGCUCACCAAGGCUACGAUCGGGUA
This 256-nucleotide ribosomal RNA is filed under the name uncultured bacterium. RNAcentral describes it as "partial 16S ribosomal RNA". It matches the Rfam family "Bacterial small subunit ribosomal RNA", at positions 28 to 286 of the family's 1533-position model. The record is from RNAcentral.